RNAcentral lists this ribosomal RNA (434 nucleotides) under uncultured bacterium. Its description in RNAcentral is "bacterial SSU rRNA". It matches the Rfam family "Bacterial small subunit ribosomal RNA", at positions 355 to 804 of the family's 1533-position model. The record is from RNAcentral.
UCGGGAAUUUUGGGCAAUGGGCGAAAGCCUGACCCAGCAACGCCGCGUGAAGGAUGAAGUAUUUCGGUAUGUAAACUUCGAAAGAAUAGGAAGAAUAAAUGACGGUACUAUUUAUAAGGUCCGGCUAACUACGUGCCAGCAGCCGCGGUAAUACGUAGGGACCAAGCGUUGUUCGGAUUUACUGGGCGUAAAGGGCGCGUAGGCGGCAAUUCAAGUCAUCUGUGAAAUCUCCGGGCUUAACUCGGAACGGUCAGAUGAUACUGCUUUGCUAGAGUGCAGAAGGGGCAAUCGGAAUUCUUGGUGUAGCGGUGAAAUGCGUAGAUAUCAAGAGGAACACCUGAGGUGAAGACGGGUUGCUGGGCUGACACUGACGCUGAGGCGCGAAAGCCAGGGGAGCAAACGGGAUUAGAUACCCCCGUAGUCCCUGAGCGGGC